This 274-nucleotide ribosomal RNA is filed under the name uncultured bacterium. RNAcentral's name for it is "partial 16S ribosomal RNA". It matches the Rfam family "Archaeal small subunit ribosomal RNA", at positions 473 to 747 of the family's 1478-position model. The record is from RNAcentral.
ACACCGGCAGCCCGAGUGGUGGCCACUACUAUUGGGCCUAAAGCGUCCGUAGCCGGUCCGGUAAGUCCCUGUGUAAAUCCUCAGGCUCAACCUGAGGAAUUGCGGGGAUACUGCCGGACUCGGGGCCGGGAGACGCGGAGGGUACUCCAGGGGUAGCGGUGAAAUGCUGUAAUCCCUGGGGGACCACCAGUGGCGAAGGCGCUCCGCGAGAACGGGCCCGACGGUGAGGGACGAAAGCCAGGGGAGCGAACGGGAUUAGAAACCCGAGUAGUCC